Molecule: ribosomal RNA, 235 nt
Filed under: uncultured bacterium
Lineage: Bacteria
Description: partial 16S ribosomal RNA
Rfam family: Bacterial small subunit ribosomal RNA
Source: RNAcentral
UACGUAGGGUGCAAGCGUUAAUCGGAAUUACUGGGCGUAAAGCGUGCGCAGGCGGUUUUGUAAGUCAGAUGUGAAAUCCCCGGGCUUAACCUGGGAACUGCGUUUGAAAACUACAAGGCUAGAGUGUGGCAGAGGGGGGUGGAAUUCCGCGUGUAGCAGUGAAAUGCGUAGAUAUGCGGAGGAACACCGAUGGCGAAGGCAAUCCCCUGGACCUGUACUGACGCUCAUGCACGAA